GUUAGGAAUAUUGGACAAUGGGCGCAAGCCUGAUCCAGCCAUGCCGCGUGAGUGAUGAAGGCCUUCGGGUUGUAACGCUCUUUAGCCGAUGAUUAUAAUGACUGUAGUCGGAAAAUAAGCCCCGGCUAACUUCGUGCCAGCAGCCGCGGUAAUACGAAGGGGGCGAGCGUUAUUCGGAAUCACUGGGCGUAAAGCGUGCGUAGGCGGCUUUGCAAGUUGGGAGUGAAAGCCCAGGGCUCAACCCUGGAAUUGCUCUCAAAACUGCAAGGCUCGAAUUCGGGAGAGGAUAGCGGAAUUGUCAGUGUAGCAGUGAAAUGCGUAGAUAUUGACAGGAACACCAGUGGCGUAAGCGGCUAUCUGGACCGAUAUUGACGCUGAGGCACGAAAGCGUGGGGAUCAAACAGGAUUAGAUACCCGUGUAGUCC
Molecule: ribosomal RNA, 425 nt
Filed under: uncultured bacterium
Lineage: Bacteria
Description: bacterial SSU rRNA
Rfam family: Bacterial small subunit ribosomal RNA
Source: RNAcentral